AAUUUAAUUCAGUUUCUUACUGACAUUUGGUCCAACACCACUCGCUUAUUGGUCGGUGGUAGUGUUGUUGUUAUCGUCGUCUGUCUAUUUAUUAUCUGUAAAAGCAAAUUAACAUCUUUAUUCAACUGUCUGUCUAUAUAACGUCAAUUGACUUGACUGCGUUUUUUCUAAAGCACAAUUUUUUAUUAUUAUAAUUUUUUUGUAAAUUUUUUUUUAUAUGUGAAGAUGGUAGCAGGCUGAAAGCUGAUGUAUGACCUUUUUUCCCUGCGCCCUUUCGGUAUAAAAAAAAGAAUAAAAGGUGUACAUACCCACACACACAAUCUUUUAACAUAAAUACGCGUUAAAUAACUAAAAGUGAAAAAUAACAAUUAAAAAAAAAAUAGUACGAAAUAAUGGAACUAAGUAGAAUAAUUAAGAAAAUUGUUGUGUAUCAUAAAGAAAUUCUAAAAAGUUUUGAUUUGAAUUUUUCUACUUUGUGUCAUGUUUAAAGUUAAUUAAAAUAUUUUUGUUAAUAAUUUCCAAAGAAGGGAAGAAAAAUAGAAAAUGUUUAAUAAAGUGUUAUAGAAAUACACAAGAAUUUCUAUGGAAAGAAAAUUUUGCUAAAAGCAAAAAAAAAAAAACAAAAAUAAAACCUAUAUAUUUUUUUAAAUUUAAUAAAAAAACUAAACAAAAAAACAACAAAAUCGCACAAAAUCAUUGAUUACUAUAUUCUAUGAGAGAGAAUAACAAAAAACAAAAAAAAACAAAUUUUGCCAUUAAAUGAAGCAGAGAAAAAUUAUGUAUGUACAUUAGGAUGGUCCUAUUUGCAUAGAGUAUUAAUAAUGUACUGCUGUUCCUUCUGAAAAUAAACGUUUGGUUAAUCCCAAGAUAACAUUUCUCAACACUUUUAAUUCGGGAGCUGGUUCAAAGUAUAAAAAGAAUAGCAGUAGCAGCUAUAACAACAAAAGCAACUAAACAAACAUUAUUAACUACAUAAGAAACCACAACAAUAACAACUAAUAUAGAAACCGAGAAAAACUUACACUUUACAUUACAUACUCACUUUACUUAUAAAGAAAAUAUUAAAAUAAAAACAAAAUAAAAUAAACCGUGUUACAUUUACAUAUAUGUACACAAUCAUACAUACUCUACAUACAUAUGUACAUACUACGUAUGUAAAUUUAGAAAAUUUACA
Molecule: long non-coding RNA, 1174 nt
Organism: Lucilia cuprina (Australian sheep blowfly)
Lineage: Eukaryota; Metazoa; Arthropoda; Insecta; Diptera; Calliphoridae
Exons: 3
Source: RefSeq, a predicted model, not a curated record